UUGGUUAAGUUAGAAAGGGCGCACGGUGGAUGCCUUGGCACUAGGAGCCGAAGAAGGACGGGACUAACACCGAUAUGCUUUGGGGAGCUGUACGUAAGCGUUGAUCCAGAGAUUUCCGAAUGGGGGAACCCACUAUCUUUAGUCGGAUAGUAUCCUUACGUGAAUACAUAGCGUAAGGAAGGCAGACCCAGGGAACUGAAACAUCUAAGUACCUGGAGGAAGAGAAAGAAAAAUCGAUUUCCUGAGUAGCGGCGAGCGAAACGGAAAGAGCCCAAACCAAGAAGCUUGCUUCUUGGGGUUGUAGGACACUCUAUACGGAGUUACAAAAGAAAGUUAUAAAUGAAGCGGUCUGGAAAGGCCCGCCAAAGACGGUAACAGCCCGGUAGUUGAAAUGGCUUUCCCUCCAGAGUGGAUCCUGAGUACGGCGGAACACGUGAAAUUCCGUCGGAAUCCGGGAGGACCAUCUCCCAAGGCUAAAUACUCCCUAGUGACCGAUAGUGAACCAGUACCGUGAGGGAAAGGUGAAAAGCACCCCGGAAGGGGAGUGAAACAGUUCCUGAAACCGUGUGCCUACAAGUAGUUAGAGCCCGUUAAUGGGUGAUAGCGUGCCUUUUGUAGAAUGAACCGGCGAGUUACGAUUUGUUGCAAGGUUAAGCGGAAAAAGCGGAGCCGUAGCGAAAGCGAGUCUGAAUAGGGCGCAUAAGUAACAGGUCGUAGACCCGAAACCAGGUGAUCUACCCAUGUCCAGGAUGAAGGUAAGGUAAUACUUACUGGAGGUCCGAACCCACGCACGUUGAAAAGUGCGGGGAUGAGGUGUGGGUAGCGGAGAAAUUCCAAUCGAACUUGGAGAUAGCUGGUUCUCUCCGAAAUAGCUUUAGGGCUAGCCUCGAGGUAAAGAGUCAUGGAGGUAGAGCACUGUUUGGACUAGGGGCCCUUCUCGGGUUACCGAAUUCAGAUAAACUCCGAAUGCCAUGUACUUAUACUCGGGAGUCAGACUGCGAGUGAUAAGAUCCGUAGUCGAAAGGGAAACAGCCCAGACCACCAGUUAAGGUCCCCAAAUAUAUGUUAAGUGGAAAAGGAUGUGGGGUUGCUUAGACAACCAGGAUGUUGGCUUAGAAGCAGCCACCAUUGAAAGAGUGCGUAAUAGCUCACUGGUCGAGUGACCCCGCGCCGAAAAUGUACCGGGGCUAAACAUAUUACCGAAACUGUGGAUGAACCUCUUCGGAGG
Molecule: ribosomal RNA, 1228 nt
Filed under: Listeria monocytogenes
Lineage: Bacteria; Bacillati; Bacillota; Bacilli; Caryophanales; Listeriaceae
Description: partial 23S ribosomal RNA
Rfam family: Bacterial large subunit ribosomal RNA
Source: RNAcentral